Long non-coding RNA from Amborella trichopoda, 1092 nucleotides. RefSeq lists it as uncharacterized. The record is from RefSeq and is a predicted model, not a curated record. NCBI's taxonomy places the organism in Eukaryota, Viridiplantae, Streptophyta, Magnoliopsida, Amborellales, Amborellaceae.
UACACGGCUCUGCUCCGUUGCCGUCCCCAUUCUCUCUCCUUCCUUGCCCUCCCCCAUACUCUCUCUCCUAAAAAACGUAGAGCCUCUGCUCUCUCCCCUGCCCGCCCCUUGUGUUCCCCAUUCUCUCUCCUUCCUUGCCCUCCCCCAUACUCUCUCUGUUAAAAAACGUAGAGCCUCUGCUCUCUCUCCCCAUCGCUAGGAGGUGCUGGUCUCCUGAAUUGCACAAUUGCUUUGUAAAAGCUCUGCAAUAAUUCGGUGGAUCUCAAGCUUGGGAACCCACUUUUGGAUUUCUCAACCGAUUUCAAUUCGAGAGCUGAGUUCUUCUGGUCUCAUGGUUUGAUAUCAGACCCUGCAUACAGAAUCUUCACUUCCUCAUGUAACUAUUCACGCUAUGUGAGCGAGUAGUACAAAGAGAAUGUGUCUCCUAUUUGUUCUCGGGUCAUGAGUCUUGUGAACCGAGAAACAAGCAAAUUUAUCGACAAAUAUGAUGGUACUCUUGAUGUUUGCAUAUCCUCUAUCUUGAUGCAGUCCAAAGGCUUGAGGCCCAUGCAAGUUUCAGAGCCUAUAGAUGUUUGUGUGGAAGAUGAGACUGUUAACUAUCUCAAUAGGAAGGAUGUUCAGAGGGCUCUCCAUGCUCGUCUUUCUGGAGUUCAUACUUGGUCGGUUUGCAGCAGGUAUAUAUAAAGGGUUUCAUUCUCUUGAUUGAAAAGAAACAACAUAUAUGCAUUUCAAGCUAGAACAUCUGUUAAUGGAGAUAGCGGUGGAGAAGAAGAUGGUUUAUCUGAUGAAGAAACCAAUUAACUCAACAUGUCCCCAGGAGUUGGUGACCCAUAGAUGGUUAUCAACAUGUCCCCGGAGGUGCUUGGGCUCCGUCAACAAUUGAAAGAGAGCUUGGGCAGAGAGAUUUUGCAUAAUUACAAUUCUCUCUUUUAUUUUGUUGUUUUUUAACUCUUUUUUAUGUAUAAGGAGGUUUUAUGUAAACAUCCACCGAGUGUAUCAGAGGAGCAUGGGUCUUGACUGUCAAUAAAACCUUUCCUACUCUUCUUUCUGUGUAAAAUAUGAUCUGAGUAGAUAAUAAAAAGAAUAAUGACA